CGGGAGGCAGCAGUGAGGAAUAUUGGUCAAUGGGCGCAAGCCUGAACCAGCCAUGCCGCGUGCAGGAUGACAGUUCUAUGGAUUGUAAACUGCUUUUAUACGGGAAGAAUAACCUGAACGUGUUCGGGGAUGACUGUACUGUAUGAAUAAGCAUCGGCUAACUCCGUGCCAGCAGCCGCGGUAAUACGGAGGAUGCAAGCGUUAUCCGGAUUUAUUGGGUUUAAAGGGUGUGUAGGCGGGGUAGUAAGUCAGUGGUGAAAGUCUGCAGCUUAACUGUAGAAUUGCCGUUGAUACUGUUACUCUUGAAUUCAGUUGAGGUAGGCGGAAUGUGUAAUGUAGCGGUGAAAUGCAUAGAGAUUACACAGAACACCGAUUGCGUAGGCAGCUUGCUAAACUGAGAUUGACGCUGAGGCACGAAAGCGUGGGGAGCAAACAGGAUUAGAUACCCUGGUAGUCCACGCCGUAAACGAUGAUUACUGGAUGUGUGCGAUACAC
RNAcentral lists this ribosomal RNA (495 nucleotides) under uncultured bacterium. RNAcentral's name for it is "bacterial SSU rRNA". It matches the Rfam family "Bacterial small subunit ribosomal RNA", at positions 342 to 834 of the family's 1533-position model. The record is from RNAcentral.